GACGAACGCUGGCGGCAUGCCUAACACAUGCAAGUCGAACGAAAAGUCCGGGUGUUGGGGCGCACGGGUGUGUAAGGGGUGGGAAGCUGCCCUUGGGUACGGAAUACCUCCCCGAAAGGGAUGCUAAUACCGGAUAAGGUCUUCGGCCCAAAGAUUUAUCGCAUUUGGAUGGGCCCUCGUUGGAUUCGCUUGUUGGUAGGGUAAUAGCUUACCAAGGCGACGAUCCAUAGCUGGUCUGAGAGGAUGAUCAGCCACUCUGGCACUGAGCCACGGCCCAGACUCCUACGCGAGGCAGCAGUGCGGAAUAUUGGACCGUGGGCGGAAGCCUGAUCCAGCAAUGCCGCGUGAGUGAUGAAGGCCUUAGGGUUGUAAAGCUCUUUUACCCGUGAUGAUAAUGACGGUACCGGGAGAAUAAGCUCCGGCUAACUCCGUG
This 433-nucleotide ribosomal RNA is filed under the name uncultured bacterium. RNAcentral's name for it is "partial 16S ribosomal RNA". It matches the Rfam family "Bacterial small subunit ribosomal RNA", at positions 28 to 507 of the family's 1533-position model. The record is from RNAcentral.